UGGAAUUAAGUGUUAAGCACGUUAGAUUUUGAUUCUAAAGGAAUCUUUC
RNAcentral lists this transfer RNA (49 nucleotides) under Histiostomatidae sp. XFX. RNAcentral describes it as "tRNA-Gln". The record is from RNAcentral. Lineage: Eukaryota; Metazoa; Arthropoda; Arachnida; Sarcoptiformes; Histiostomatidae.